UAUUCAGUCUAGAUUAUAUUACAAAGGUUAGCUCGUUAUUUCUACGACUUCUCAUUGGAUUCAAAAGUUGUUACAGGAAUUCCAUGCCACCCCAACCAGGUGUCAUUUGGGAGCUUACCGUACUUACUACCGUCUAGCUAGCAAUCUUUAUUGGAAAGGUAUGAUGCGAACUGUGCAAAAUUUUGUGGAUGAGUGUUUGGUUUGCUAAUGCCAUAAAGACCAAAUAUUGCAUCCUAUUCACCCUCUUCCCAUACCUUUAGCUAUUUGGGAAGACAUCUCCAUAGACUUUAUCACUGGAUUGCCAAAGUCUUUUGGUGUGGAUUGUAUCCUGGUGGUCACAAAUAGACUUUAGAAAUAUAGGCAUUUUUUGGCCCUUCGGCACCCUUUUACUACCAAAACUGUAGCUGAUCUCUUCAUAAAGGAAGUUCUUCGACUCCACGAUAUGCCUCAGUCCAUAGUCAGUGACCGUGACCCUUUUUUCCUCAGCACUUUUUGGCAGGAGUUCUUUUGCCUUUGAGGUACUUCUCUUAAAUUCAGUACAACUUACCAAAUUGAAACAGAUGGCAAACGAAAGUGCUCAAUCGCAGUUUGGAAACGUGUAUGCGCUGUUUUGCUUCAGAACAACCCUAACAGUGGAGUAAAUGGCUACAUUGGGCCUAGUUUUUGUAUAACACUAGUUACUACACUGCAGCAAAGUUCACCCCUUUCAAAAUUGUAUAUGGGCACCCACCCCCUUCCCUUAUUCAAUUUAUGCCUGGUGAAACUAAAGUGGAUGCUCUUGCUUAGCAUUUGUAGGAGCGAGACAAAAUUCUUUGGCAAUUGAAGUACAAACUCACAAAGGUUUAGUAGCGAAUAGUGCACGCUACUAAUAAACACCACCAAGAUAUUACUUUUGUUGCUGGUGACUUGGUGUUUUUAAAAUUUCGACCACACCUACAAGUUUAAUUAUAGUAGUAGAUUAAUCCCAAAUUGGUACAACGUUAUUUCGGCCAUUUCUACAUCCUCAAAAAGGUUGGCCCUAUUGCUUAUCACCUUAAUUUACCACCUGAAUCUUGGGUGCACCUUGCUUUCGAUAUGUCUCAACUAAAGAAAUUGGUUGGCACUCAUCCUAUUACUAUUGCUACCUUACCUCGGGACAUGGCUAUUGAGGAAGACUGGGUUGGACCUAAGGAGGUUUAAUGACAUAGAACGGUUAUGAUUGGUGACCACCAAUGUCCCAAGUUCUUAGUCAAUGGAAGGGAAAAUUCCUUGAAGAGGCUACUUGGAUAGACAGUGUUGACAUCUACAACCAGUUCCCUGGCUUCCGCCUUAAAGACAAGGCUAAUAUUCAACAGGGCGGCAAUGAUAUGGACACAAGCCAGCAAGUAGGUCUAGGAAUGCUAAGGGUAUACACCAGGCGUAAGAAGACUCCAGAAGAUGGUAUUGGAAUGGAGAAUUCCAGAAAGAAAGUUUUGCAGGGAAGAAUGAGCGGGUAAUUGUGCAUAGAAUUGAGCUGUUGUCGGUAGGGAGAAGUCAAUAAAUAGGAUGAGAAUAAUAUGUAAAUGAUCAGCCAAAUUUUUGUUUUAGUCUUGUGAGGGGGCCAAUGGACGAAUUCCUUGGUUUGUAAUAGCCUUUGGGCUGUUUGCCAGUUAAGUCUUGAGACUUGAUUGUAAUUUCGCUAUUCACUAAUUCCAGUUAAUUCAUCCUUCCUCCGUUUUCUCGUGCUCUCAAAUUCUAAUCUCUAUCACAGUAUGCUCAUGACAAUGACACGCCAAUCAGGGGAUUAAGCCUUCCUCCUCUUCUAUACAAGUCAUUUCUAUUCACCGUGUUAAAAAUUGCAGACCGAACAAAAACAUUAACCUCUAGAGGUGGCUUAGUUUUCCAAACUUUUGUUAGCUGAAAAGAAAAGAGUGGUCAUGAUAGGAGUUAACAAGAUGGGCAUCCUUUUGGGUGUAAUAAUGUAUACAUUACUUGGGCUUGGAUAUGAGCAUCUUUUUCCUUGUUGAUCCAAUUAAUUAUAGUAUUGGAUCGUAAGAUUCCCAAUAAAUUG
This 2029-nucleotide unclassified non-coding RNA is filed under the name Hevea brasiliensis (rubber tree). Lineage: Eukaryota; Viridiplantae; Streptophyta; Magnoliopsida; Malpighiales; Euphorbiaceae. The record is from RNAcentral.